Alexandromys fortis (reed vole) is the source of this 1986-nucleotide long non-coding RNA. RefSeq lists it as uncharacterized. Lineage: Eukaryota; Metazoa; Chordata; Mammalia; Rodentia; Cricetidae. The record is from RefSeq and is a predicted model, not a curated record. The transcript is spliced from 3 exons.
CUGUCAACAGUGAAUCUAUGCAGAUAGAGGGCAAUGCCCCCAGCUGGUGUCCUUUUGUUUCAGGUACUUGCCAACACUGGGACAGAUCACUUCUCUAAGGUAAAACAGAUCUUUUGACACGGAAACAGACAAAAGUGAUGUAGCUCUGAGGAAGUCCGGCCCACUGCUCCCGGCGUGAACAAACCCAGCCAUUCUGCUCCGUGCCAAGCUGCCUGCUCCCAGCACUCCAUCGGUUCUCCUGGCUUUUGCUAUGGUGGUGUUUUUUUAGUCUAAGGGCUUGACUGCUGCUGGUCACCGCUUAGACAUUAUCACCGCUGAGGGGCUGUUUGAGACUUCGGCACAGCUGGGUGAAGAAUACAGACCUGGGGUACUUUCCCGAUGGUUGUUCAGGUAACACUAGUGAAAACCAGCAGUCACCAUGGCCUGCUCUGCCCUUCACUCCCAACUAUUCUCGGGGACUUCUUUUCACACCCGAAGAUAUGUCGGGCAAACAAACUUGUGUCCAAUAUAAUUAAGAGAGUUGCCACUGAUUCUGACCCUCAACCAUCUCAGCUACUUUUGGGUCUGGGGUUUAUUACAAACAUCUUUAAAGUUCACUACUGAAAAAUUAUCGUCACGCUGGGUGGUGGUGGUGCACACCAUUAAUGCCGGCACUUGGGAGGCAGAGGCAGGCGGAUCUCUGUGAGUUCGAGGCCAGCCUGGUCUACAAGAGCUAGUUCGAGGGCAGGCUCCAAAGCUACAGAGAAACCCUGUCUAGAAAUCCCCUCUCUUCAAAAACAAACUACUCAUGUGGAGAAAUUAAGGAGAAACCUUCCAAAAGUACUGGAUGGGCUGUACCCUGGUACAGUAUCCAAGAUAUAUCCAGGUAUCACGAUCACAGUGCUUGACUGAGAACUUACAGCACGCACGCGCACACACACACACACACACACACACACACACACACACACACACACAGCAAAAUAUUGAGAGAAUAUAAAGAGCACAAUGCUGACAGCCUUUCUUAGGGGAGGGUAGUUCCAUUGGUAACUACCAUCUUACGCUUAUAUUUAUCAAACAAGCAGGACAUCAAGAGAAGAUGAAGCGGAGUGACAGUGGGGUGUCAGGAUGCUUGCCUGAGCGGCACUGAGGCAGGAAUAGCUUUGGACUGAGGUGAGCCAUCAAAGGUCGAGGGAGGUGGAGGUACUAGAAAGGGUGUCCAAAGGAAGACCCAGGUGUGGGCGUCUGUGCAGCCCUUCCAGGGCAGGGGGAGCCACAGACGCUUCCACAGAAGAGUAGCUGGCACAUAUGCCUUCUUGUUAGACAGGGUGACGAGAACAGGGCCAAGAACCCAGAACAGCAAAUGGGAAGAGCCAGAAAACUACCACAACAGUCAAGACCAGGGGUGGCAGGGCCUCGCCUGAGGAGGGUGUUCCAGGGGCCAAGGGCUGGACUAUAGCUCCCCAGUGCACAGGGUUGGGGUGCAGGGGUAAGAGGUGCCCGACGUGCCUGGCAUUCCAAGGUGAGCCAGCACACUCCCAUGGCUUUCGAGGGAACUAAAGCUAAGCCCUGAUGUGAGCCUCUAGCUUCAAACUGCUACAGGAGAGACGGAACUCAAGGCCAACAGAAGGAUUUAUGUGUCUAAACUCUAAGUUUCUCUCCAUUUAAUAAUCACCUCUAGCCGGGCUACAGCCUCAUGAGAACUGGAAGCCAGACAGGCCGUGGUGGCGCACUCCUUUAAUUUCAGCACUCAGGAGGCAGAGGCAGGCGGAUCUCUGUGAGAUUUAGGCCAGCCUGGUCUAUAGAGCGAGUUCCAGGACAGUCAGAGCUGUUACACAGAGAAACCCUGUCUCAAAAAACAAAACAAAACAAAUAACCUUUAAAAUAUAAUACUUAGGGGGCUGGAGAGAUGGCUCAGAGGUUAAGAGCACUUACUGCUCUUCCAGAGGUCCUGAGUUCAAUUCCACAUGGUGGCUCGCAACCAUCCAAAAUGAGAUCUGGUGCCUU